GGGCACUCUAAGGAGACUGCCAGGGAUAACCCGGAGGAAGGCGGGGACGACGUCAAAUCAUCAUGCCCCUUAUGAUUUGGGCUACACACGUGCUACAAUGGCGUAAACAAAGGGAAGCGAGAGGGUGACGUGGAGCAAAUCCCAAAAAUAACGUCCCAGUUCGGACUGCAGUCUGCAACCCGACUGCACGAAGCUGGAAUCGCUAGUAAUCGCGAAUCAGAAUGUCGCGGUGAAUACGUUCCCGGGUCUUGUACACACCGCCCGUC
RNAcentral lists this ribosomal RNA (266 nucleotides) under uncultured bacterium. RNAcentral describes it as "partial 16S rRNA". It matches the Rfam family "Bacterial small subunit ribosomal RNA", at positions 1133 to 1398 of the family's 1533-position model. The record is from RNAcentral.